RNAcentral lists this ribosomal RNA (440 nucleotides) under uncultured bacterium. Its description in RNAcentral is "partial 16S ribosomal RNA". It matches the Rfam family "Bacterial small subunit ribosomal RNA", at positions 338 to 795 of the family's 1533-position model. The record is from RNAcentral.
CCUACGGGAGGCAGCAAUGGGGGAUAUUGCACAAUGGGGGAAACCCUGAUGCAGCGACGCCGCGUGAGUGAAGAAGUAUUUCGGUAUGUAAAGCUCUAUCAGCAGGGAAGAAAAUGACAGUACCUGACCAAGAAGCCCCGGCUAACUACGUGCCAGCAGCCGCGGUAAUACGUAGGGGGCAAGCGUUAUCCGGAUUUACUGGGUGUAAAGGGAGCGUAGACGGUUAUGUAAGUCUGGAGUGAAAGCCCGGGGCGCAACCCCGGGAGUGCUUUGGAAACUGUGUAACUGGAGUACGUGCGGGGCAGGCGGAAUUCCUGGUGUAGCGGUGAAAUGCGUAGAUAUGAGGAGGAACACCGGCGGCGAAGGCGGCCUGCUGGACUGGAACUGACGUUGAGGCUCGAAAGCGUGGGGAGCGAACAGGAUUAGAUACCCCGGUAGUC